This 74-nucleotide transfer RNA is filed under the name Ovis aries (sheep). It matches the Rfam family "tRNA". From Rfam's summary of the family: Transfer RNA (tRNA) molecules are approximately 80 nucleotides in length. The record is from Rfam by way of RNAcentral. Lineage: Eukaryota; Metazoa; Chordata; Mammalia; Artiodactyla; Bovidae.
GGCGCCAUGGCUUAAUUGGUUAAAGUGCGUGUCUAGUAAACAGGAGAUCCUGGGUUCUAAUCCCAGCGGUGCUU